Molecule: long non-coding RNA, 715 nt
Organism: Homalodisca vitripennis (glassy-winged sharpshooter)
Lineage: Eukaryota; Metazoa; Arthropoda; Insecta; Hemiptera; Cicadellidae
Exons: 4
Source: RefSeq, a predicted model, not a curated record
UACGUCAUACACACCCUAAUUAUUACAUAUAUAAGCCAAAUCCUAAUCACAAAACAACCUCAACUAUUAUUAAAAAUAUAAGCCGCAUGGGGUGCUCAUUAUUACUAUAAGAUGCACAGUUGAUACUAUAAACAAAGUUACGAACAGUAGUGGAUUGAUAUGGCUCUGCUCGACUGAUACAACUGUGAGCACAGUAUCGACACAGAUAACCAGCAAUGUAGACACAGUUACAAACACUACUGGUAUGAUGUGGCUCUGUCCUACUGCCACAACUAAGAACACAGUCCCGACACAGAUGAUAGACAUUAUUACAAACUCUACUGGUAUGAUGUGGUUCUGCCCAACUGCCACAAGUAAGAACACAGUUCCGACACAGAUGAUAGGUAGAAAGGCAACUGGCUGAUAAUGUAACUGAACAUCUGCUGCAAACAUAUUCAACCAAAGAAUUUAACAAAACCAUCAAAACAUUUUGGAACAUCGAGGAGAAGAAGAUUUAUCACAGAGAACUAUAAGCAUACUAACACCAUAUUUCCCCACAACAUUUUAUACACUUCCGAAAAUUCAUGAAACUGUCAGACCAUCACCAGGACGUCCAAUUUUUGCCAGUUAUGGGAGCCCGACUUAAAGGAUAUCAGUUUACAUUGACGACCAACUGCAGCCUUUUGUGAAAUUACUUCUAUAUUAUGUUAAAUAUACUAAUGAUUUUAUUGUUAAA